AGAGAUGACCAGCACUCAUGGUUUUCUAGAGGUUAAAAGUUGUAGGCUUUAAUGAAAAUACAUGUUAAAAAGAAGAUUGACAUUUCAGUGCACGUCUGGGACUUUCAUCAGGAUCUGGUACCUGAUCCUGAUGAAAGUCCCAGACGUGGACUGAAACGUUGAUCUUCUUUUUAACAUGUAUUUUCAUUAAAGCCUAUAACUUUUAAUCUCUAGAAAACCGUGAGUGCUGGUCAUCUCUACAUUUU
Molecule: non-coding RNA, 245 nt
Organism: Pelobates cultripes (western spadefoot toad)
Lineage: Eukaryota; Metazoa; Chordata; Amphibia; Anura; Pelobatidae
Source: the annotation of a GenBank genome assembly